AGCAGUCGCCGCGGUAAUACGAAGGGUGCAAGCGUUAAUCGGAAUUACUGGGCGUAAAGCGUGCGUAGGCGGUGAGUUAAGUCUGCUGUGAAAUCCCCGGGCUCAACCUGGGAAUGGCAGUGGAUACUGGCUCGCUAGAGUGUGUCAGAGGAUGGUGGAAUUCCCGGUGUAGCGGUGAAAUGCGUAGAGAUCGGGAGGAACAUCAGUGGCGAAGGCGGCCAUCUGGGACAACGCUGACGCUGAGGCACGAAAGCGUGGGGAGCGAACAGGAUUAGAUACCCCCGUAGUCCCUGUCUCUUAUAC
Molecule: ribosomal RNA, 303 nt
Filed under: uncultured bacterium
Lineage: Bacteria
Description: partial 16S ribosomal RNA
Rfam family: Bacterial small subunit ribosomal RNA
Source: RNAcentral